UACAAACAUACAAACAUAUAUAUGUAUAUAGUAUAAAAAUAUGUCGUUGAUGCUUAAAAAUUUUAAAUUUUAUGCUGAUACGAACUGUGAAUUGCAUAGCAAGCUACAAUUAAAUGUUACUAAAAAUCAUACGUAUAUUUUAAUAAAACUGCAAAAAGCAAUAUUGUGUUCAACCAAACUUUUAAUCUAUUGUAAAAAAGAUCAACGUUUAAUAAAUGUAAUAACAUUGGGUACAUUCAGCGAACUGAACGCUCAGUAAACAUGUUCAGUGGGCGAUUAAUUUUCAUGAACGCAACGCUACUUCAAAAGUCGUAACGGCCAAAUUAACUGCUACUUCAACUGCCGAAACUAAUUGCGAAUUCGUCAUGGAAAAUAUUGCAAAUUUUGAGAGUGACUGAAAACCUUGGAGCAGUAAAAAAAAAUAAGCUACUGUUGGAUUUAUACUAGGAGAAUCGCAUUAAAUUUCGCAGCACGAAAAUUAAAAAGAAAAGGUUAUGGAGUGAAAUACGCAAAAAAAUGCAAGAAAAAAAGAUGCCCUAGAUCGUAAAAUGCGCAAUUUGAAAAAAAAAAAACAUAUUGCACAAUUAAGCGUAACAACAAAACAACGGAUAGAGAUAGAUAUCGUGGCCCUUUUUCGACACGUUUGAUUAAUACCGGCUGCAAUGUUAAUCGCCGAGGAUGUUACAUUAGCACCAACAUCGCCAUCACCAUUAGCAUCUGUUUUCCCACAAAUUUCACCGGCUCCAACACCAAACUUCCUAUCGACUUCCACAUCUGCUUUCCCACCAAUUUCACCGGUUCCAAUACCAGAGCCACCAUCAGCACCAAUUCCCAAUCCAUCCAUUCAAUAAAACAAUAGUAAAAGUACAUACCGUCAAAUAUAAAUAAAUAAUAAAUUAAAUAUUUGAACCUAA
Long non-coding RNA from Ceratitis capitata (Mediterranean fruit fly), 914 nucleotides. RefSeq lists it as uncharacterized. The transcript is spliced from 3 exons. NCBI's taxonomy places the organism in Eukaryota, Metazoa, Arthropoda, Insecta, Diptera, Tephritidae. The record is from RefSeq and is a predicted model, not a curated record.